This is a long non-coding RNA of Toxorhynchites rutilus septentrionalis, 1315 nucleotides long. RefSeq lists it as uncharacterized. Lineage: Eukaryota; Metazoa; Arthropoda; Insecta; Diptera; Culicidae. The transcript has 3 exons. The record is from RefSeq and is a predicted model, not a curated record.
UGGCAACUCUUCGUUCCACUUUUCAUCGAAUGUUUUCAAAACGCAGGAGUAAACAUUUACGUGACUGUGACUUCGUUUGUUUUUAUUUCGUUCGGAAAAAUAUUAUAUCUGGGAAAGUGGACAUUAAAAAUGCGUUACUCAGUGAAGGCUGCCUGAAUACGAGUGAAACGUUUUUACAAACGCGUUCAGAAACGUUUUUACAGACGCGCUGGGUCGAUUUUUGCGGAGAUGACAAACUAGUUCCGAAUAAUGGUUCCCGUAUCUGUGGAGAUUAUUUUGAUACAAAUACAUCGUUACAUUUCAACCGGAAAGGAAACCUCGUGAGAAACCGUAAUGCCUUCUCCACUAUUAAGCCGGUAGUUGACUCAGAAGAUUAAGUCCAUCAUCAACACGAAGCGCAGAUUGCUUCACCGUUACAUUAAUCACCAGCACUAGCGGAUCAUAAUUACGUGGAUUUCAUUUGGCCAGCUUCAUUAGCAAAGCUGUUUUCACCGACGUUAGAAAAAAAAACGUCCCCAAAACAUUUCACUAUUGAUAUGUAUGUAUGUAUCAAAACUCGCCAAUGUCGAAUUUGGCUCCCACAUUAAAAUCUUGGAGUGAACUAAGCGUUAUUCGUAGGUUAUGAUAUUAUGUCAAGUUCUGAUGCCUUGCAAUAUGAGAUGCUCUUUCAGAAAUGCAAUGGUCGAUUAAACAAUUGACGGAAAAAUGUAAUUCGUUCAUCUUAAAAGUUUAAUUAUUUUUGCCUUUGAUAACAAUACCUUUUUUAUAGUGUUGAUUAUCAUAAGAAAAAUAACACUCCUGAUCGUUGGAUCUUUUUUGACAUUUCAAUUGGAUCUUUUUUGACAGCCGUUUUGAUUCAGUCCGCACUACCUAGGUUAUUGAAAUAUUCAGAUAGUUCUUACACUGGAGAAAUAGUUAAGUAAAAGCAGCUACCAAAUCUUUAGUAGCCAAAACAUUGGUAGAAUAUACAAAUGCUUUGUAAAUAUUACCAAAAUUGCGUAAAAGCGAUGUCAGACGCAAUGAACGUUCCUACCAGAGAUUCGUAGAUUUUACUUCAUACCAUUAGUAACUUUGUUUCUUUGUCAUACCUAACAUCUGUGAUGUGCGCACUUUGCAAUCGCUAUUUCUAUUUUGGAGAUGAAGCGAUUCGGAGAGACACGAGAGAACAAAAUGCGGAUGAAAUGGGCUGGUGCUACCGACAUUCCCUAAAUAAUGCAAACUAGAGCGAUGCAGCAGGAAGAGGAACGGGAACUUUCCUCGUGUACGCUGCUCAUAGAAUAAGUUAUAUAUUAUUAUUAUUAUGUAUUCUAAAUAU